GGAAUCUUCCACAAUGGGCGCAAGCCUGAUGGAGCAACACCGCGUGAGUGAAGAAGGGUUUCGGCUCGUAAAGCUCUGUUGUUAGAGAAGAACGUGCGUGAGAGCAACUGUUCACGCAGUGACGGUAUCUAACCAGAAAGUCACGGCUAACUACGUGCCAGCAGCCGCGGUAAUACGUAGGUGGCAAGCGUUAUCCGGAUUUAUUGGGCGUAAAGCGAGCGCAGGCGGUUUCUUAAGUCUGAUGUGAAAGCCUUCGGCUUAACCGAAGAAGUGCAUCGGAAACUGAUAAACUUGAGUGCAGAAAAGGACAGUGGAACUCCAUGUGUAGCGGUGAAAUGCGUAGAUAUAUGGAAGAACACCAGUGGCGAAGGCGGCUGUCUGGUCUGUAACUGACGCUGAGACUCGAAAGCAUGGGUAGCGAACA
This 424-nucleotide ribosomal RNA is filed under the name uncultured Lactobacillus sp. Its description in RNAcentral is "bacterial SSU rRNA". It matches the Rfam family "Bacterial small subunit ribosomal RNA", at positions 358 to 774 of the family's 1533-position model. Lineage: Bacteria; Bacillati; Bacillota; Bacilli; Lactobacillales; Lactobacillaceae. The record is from RNAcentral.